This 253-nucleotide long non-coding RNA is filed under the name Mytilus galloprovincialis (Mediterranean mussel). The record is from RNAcentral. Lineage: Eukaryota; Metazoa; Mollusca; Bivalvia; Mytilida; Mytilidae.
GGCAAAUCUGUUGGUCUUAUUUUGAAAUGCAAAAGUAAGGCAAUUUUGUCAGUUACAUGUAUCAUAACUUCCUUUUAUCAUGUUUAUGCAAUUAAAAAUUUUUCUUUUAGCAUUUUUAAUGAAAGUACAUGUACUAAAAGAAGUAGGAGAAGAUAACCAACAAAACAGAAGUCACUAGAGGCAAUGCUUUCUAUAUUUAUAUAUAGACUAGUAGUGGAUUUGAAAAGUGCUGUAUUGAUUCAUGUGCAAAUAA